This 1488-nucleotide ribosomal RNA is filed under the name Chaperiopsis cf. rubida RJO-2020. RNAcentral describes it as "SSU rRNA". It matches the Rfam family "Eukaryotic small subunit ribosomal RNA", at positions 338 to 1828 of the family's 1831-position model. The record is from RNAcentral. Lineage: Eukaryota; Metazoa; Bryozoa; Gymnolaemata; Cheilostomatida; Chaperiidae.
UGCCAACCGUGGCGUUAACGGAUAACAGAGAAUCUGGGUUCGAUUCUGGAGAGGCCGCAUGAGAAACGGCGACCACUUCUAAGGAAGGCAGCAGGCACGCAAAUUACCCACUUCGGACACCGAGAGGUAGUGACGAACAAUACCGAUGCGGCGCACUUACGUGUCGCCGUAAUCGGAAUGAGUACACUUCAAAUCCUUUAACGAGGAUCCACUGGAGGGCAAGCCUGGUGCCAGCAGCCGCGGUAAUUCCAGCUCCAGCAGCGUAUAUUUAUAUUGCUGCGUUUAAAAAGCUCGUAGUUGAAGCGUCAGACGCGGAAGGGCGGACGGCCGCACUGGUCGCUCUCGCCCGACCGAGCCAGGCGCAGAGGGCGCGCGUCGCUUGCACUUUACCGUGUGAGUGCGCCGCCGCUGCACGUUCACCUUGAAGAAAUUGAACCGCUUAGAGGGGGCGAGCAGCUUGAACAGCUCAGCAUGGUAUGAUGGAACAUGGGCUCGUACUCAUUUUGUUGGUUAGAGAGUCGGCGAGCCAAUGAUUAACAGGGACUGCCGGGGGCAUUAGUACUCGGACGGGAGAGGUGAAAUUCAAGGAUCGUCCGAAGACUCCCUACUGCGAAAGCAUUUGCCAAGAAUGUUUUCAUUAAUCAAGAACGAAAGUCAGAGGUGCGAAGGCGAUCAGAUACCGCCGUAGUUCUGACCGUAAACGUUGCCGACUGGCAAUUGGGCGCACUUCUGUCGAAGUUGCCGCCAGCAGUACUGCCCGGGAAACCAAAGUCAUUGGGUUCCGGGGGGAGUAUGGUUGCAAAGCUGAAACUUAAAGGAAUUGACGGAAGGGCACCACCAGGAGUGGAGCCUGCGGCUUAAUUUGACUCAACACGGGAAACCUCACCCGGCCCGAACACUGUUAUGACAGACAGGUUGAGAGCUCUUUCUCGAUUCAGUGGUUGGUGGUGCAUGGCCGUUCUUAGUUCGUGGAGCGAUCUGUCUGGUUAAUUCCGAUAACGAACGAGAUUCUUGCCUGCUAAAUAGACGGCGUCGACUGUGUGCGGCGACCGUUUGCUUCUUAGAGGGACAAGCGGCUUUUAGCCGCGUGAAGCUGAGAGCAAUAACAGGUCAGUGAUGCCCUCAGAUGUUCGGGGCCGCACGCGCGCUACACUGUUUGCAUCAGCGUGUUUCUCCCGCGCCGGUCGGCGCGGGCAACCCGUUGAACCGCAAACGUGCUAGGGAUCGGAGAUUGCAAUUGUUCUCCGUCAACGAGGAAUUCCUUGUACUGGCGAGUCAUCAGCUCGCGGGGAAUCUGUCCCUGCCCUUUGUACACACCGCCCGUCGCUACUACCGAUUGAGUGGUUUAGUGAGGCUCACGGACUGCGAGCGGCACCCGUCGGCUUCGGCCGUCAACGGCGUCGCGAGCGGAAAGUGAGACGAACUUGAUCACUUCUAGGAAGUAAAAGUCGUAACAAGGUUUUCGUAGGUGAACCUGCGUAAGGAUCA